UGUUCUGCAUACAAUGGGCGCUCAAUAAGUAAUUUUAAGCAGACGGACAUGUGUCCUGACUAAAAGCUUUUUUCAAAGGUAACGUCACCACUGCUGUGACCCUUCCAGAAGGAAGCCUGUAAUCACAUCGCUCCAGUGCCCCCGGCUUUCUCUAUUCCUCCCUUUUCUUCAAAUUUUUCAGUACUCAACCAGUCAUUUGGUCAACAAACAUUUAGUGAGUGCCAGUGACGGAGUGGGCCCAAUGAUGGAGUGGGACUAGUAAGCUAGUCCCCCUGCUUACUGCCCUGUGACUUUGCUGGCCUGCAGCCUGUGCGUCCACCCUUGUGACAAUCCUGCGGCCCCAGAGUCCCCUCGAGACCUUUUAUUGGUGGCUCAUUGCUCAGCACUUCUCCAGUUCAAACGAAACGUCCAUGUGUACUCAGGUUCCUUCUUUUGUGUGUGCUGCACCCAGAAGCAAAAUAAUUGUCCAGCUGUCCUGAGAACAGCCAACAGUUGGGAUUGUGUCAGCGAGUCUUUGUUCAGUUCCUAUAAAGGACAGUCUAUUAGGUAAUAAUCCGUUCCAAAUGGAAAACAUGUCUUUCAUAAGGCCUGAAAUUAAUUAUUGCCACAUCCCCCUUCAGGCCCACAAACAGUUCUUUCACUAUGAAAGAACAAGCUUAACUAAGUAGAAGGAGUCUUAAAAACAUCUUUUCUAGCUUUGAAAAUCAUGGGAUCUGGCCUCGGAGACAAGCAAAGGAUGACCACACAUGAGGAGCACUCCCUGAAGACAGGCAAGCUAGAGGAGGCUGGUUUGGGGAGAACCGGCACCAUCCUUGGAGGGAAGCCGUGCUUCUCAAACUGCUCUUCUUCUGUGCAGGGAACAUCAGUGAGGGUGGGCUUGUGAGGGCGAGGCUGUCACGGGGCAGCGCUUGGGGGAAGGCAUUGCCUAAUGCAGGUGAACACUGCACGAACUUAGGAGGAGUUCAUCUCAAAUCCCGACAAGAACCGUGUAAACCUGUGGCAGGUCAGAGCUCAUCAGCCUCCCCCAUAAACUCACAAGCCCAGGAAGAGGCAGGAAAGAAAGCCACAUUUCUUACACGCCAGUGCUCCUGAAGGACAGGCAGCUGCUGAUCAGGGUGUCCUCUGGAACUUUCUGUAAGGUGCACAUGUACACACACACACACACACACACACACACACACACUGUCACGGGCUCAACUCUGUCUCCCUGAUAUUCCCAUGUUGAAGUCUUAACUCCCAGUACCUCAGAAUGUGACUACGUUUGGACACAGGAUCUUUAAAAGAGGUAUUUAAGGUUAAAUGAGGUCAUUAGAGUGGGUACUAAUCCACUAUAACUGGUGUCCUUACAAUAAAAUGAGAUUAGGACACAGACACACAGAGGGACGACCAUGUGAAGACACAGGGAAGACAGCCAUCUUUAAGCCAUGGAGAGAGGCCUUAGAAGAAGCCAAACCUGCUGAAGGGGAGACUAUGCAACCCCAGAAGGAGGUAUCAUUAAAAGUGUUUUCCGGAUGAGUGAAAUAAGGCACAGAGAGGCUAAGUAACUCAGGAGGGGACACACAGUGGGACAUGUGCAAAAGGGGGACUGACAUGGAGCCGCCUCACUGUGUGAUCUCUAUGACAGUGACAAGUGCCUGACCUCUCAGCACUCAAGGAAUGUCGUUUGCUGGUGGUGCUGUGACCCCUGCGUACCUGCUCUUCCCACCGUAACCGGCACGGCUUGCGUCCACCACUGCCUACGUGAAGUACCUUCCAGCUUCUUCCCAUCCCUGCCCCCAGAUCCGCUUUCCUCUGAUUUCCACAGUAGUGAACACCGAGGCCUCCCCGCCACUCCCCGGCUGCCACGAGUCCUGGAGCCAGCCUGGCUACUGUAGGAAAGCGGCUGUCCUCAGUUCCAGACUGUCAAGGCCUAGAAAAAAAAUGCAUCCUCUCUCCUCAUAACCUCCCCUUAAAAGAAAACCUCCUGCAGGCAGAGGUGGAGACUGUCAGAGAUUCUACCCUCCUCACAAAAUUCCAAUACCGGUGGAAGAAACAAUGCUUUUGUAAUGUUUCCCUAGAUGAGGCCUGAGGCCUGUGGGCACUGAAUGGAAGGAAGGCGAUGCUUUGCAUCACGGUAUGCACGGUGCACCUUGCCCAAGACUGCGUUGCAACAUGACCAGGCGGAGACUCCAUGCCCUCUGCGACCAGAUGAAGCCUCAGUCCUCCUACCCCAAGCUCCUUCUCUUCAGCUGGGCUUGGCCCCUCCGUGUCAAUGGGCCAUCCGGAAAUUCCAUGACCCAGGGCCCCUGCGAUCAGUAGCAUGGGCUUGGCUCACCUUCUCUUGCUAUGCUGCCCACUGUCCUCUUCUUGGACCUGCUCAGGUUUGAGCUGGUGUGUUGCUACUGCCCUCUAGACGCAGGUAAUGGUCACUGAGAGCGGCUCCCAAACAGAGGAGUAUUGUGGACAAAACCCCAGUUAAGGCAGGCAGCAGAAGACGGCAAUCCGUCAGCAAUUUUGCAAAGAUAAGCUUGUGUGUCAGGUUAACAAGUUAACAUUCACUGAGGGCGCACCAUGGGCCCGGCCGUCUCCCAGCGGCCUUCCUGUGGUCAGUUAUAAACGAGGACACAUGGUUGCUGGACAGACCGCCUCCCUGGAAUGCGAUCGCGAAGUGCAAUCGUCCCAGCGAUGGAUUUUCUCAGUACUGGCAGAGGCCACAUCCAGCUUCGAGAACAGCCUUCCUUGUCAUGUUGCGCUCCCAGCUUAGGGGUGUGUUUGAUGUCAGCUGAGGCUCUCCACUGUGAGCACCGGUAGGGAGAGUAAAGUUACAGGUGGGUUAUGUUCCUCCAGCUAAGCACAGCCACGCAUGUGGAUGCCUUCUAAUAUUCUCGUAAGGCAAACAAUACAGUUUAUUGGGAGUUUAAGUAACUCCAAAAGGGGCAAACUUCCACUUACAAAAUAAAAAAAAAAGUAAGUCCUGGGCUCAUCAUGCUGACUAUAUCAUUAACGAUACUAUAUUGCAUGUUUGAAAGUUGCUAAAAGAGGGGCGCCUGGGUGGUUCAGUUGGUUAAGCGACUGCCUUCGG
This is a non-coding RNA of Callorhinus ursinus (northern fur seal), 3061 nucleotides long. NCBI's taxonomy places the organism in Eukaryota, Metazoa, Chordata, Mammalia, Carnivora, Otariidae. The record is from RefSeq and is a predicted model, not a curated record.